Molecule: unclassified non-coding RNA, 283 nt
Filed under: uncultured fungus
Lineage: Eukaryota; Fungi
Description: sequence contains ITS1, 5.8S rRNA gene
Rfam family: 5.8S ribosomal RNA (bases 235-283)
Source: RNAcentral
UUUCCGUAGGUGAACCUGCGGAAGGAUCAUUACUGAGAACCGGGCCCUCGCGGUCCGACCCUCAAACCACCGCGUACCAAACUUUUCGUUGCCUCGGCGGGCCGGGCCUACGCCCACCGCCUCACCCCCCGCUCACCCGGGGAGGCGAGGGGGGUCGCGCCCGCCGCAGGACACCAAAAAAACCGUUUCGUAUGACGAACGUCUGAUAUUCUUUUAGCGAAUGCUAUAAAGUACAACUUUCAACAAUGGAUCUCUUGGCUCUGGCAUCGAUGAAGAACGCAGC